Molecule: ribosomal RNA, 170 nt
Filed under: Acanthurus triostegus (convict surgeonfish)
Lineage: Eukaryota; Metazoa; Chordata; Actinopteri; Acanthuriformes; Acanthuridae
Description: partial 12S rRNA
Source: RNAcentral
CACCGCGGUUAUACGAGAGACCCAAGUUGACAGACAAUCGGCGUAAAGAGUGGUUAAGUACUAUACCCUACUAAAGCCAAACACCUUCAAAGCUGUUAUACGCACCCGAAGGUUAGAAGCCCAAUCACGAAAGUGGCUUUAAACUUACUGAACCCACGAAAGCUAGGGCA